Molecule: ribosomal RNA, 1242 nt
Filed under: metagenome
Description: bacterial LSU rRNA
Rfam family: Bacterial large subunit ribosomal RNA
Source: RNAcentral
UGAUGACGAGACGCUAAGGCGUUGAAGUGGUGUGUGUCAGACUUCCAAGAAAAGCUCGCAAUGUCAUAGAUAAAAAAUGCCUGUACCAUAACCGACACAGGUGGGUAGGUAGAGUAUACUAAGGGGCGCGAGAUAACUCUCUCUAAGGAACUCGGCAAAAUGACUCCGUAACUUCGGGAGAAGGAGUGCCUUAUUUAUAAGGUUGCAAUAACAAGAUCCAAGCAACUGUUUAUCAAAAACACAGGUCUCCGCUAAGUCGUAAGACGAUGUAUGGGGGCUGACGCCUGCCCAGUGCCAGAAGGUUAAAGAAGUUGGUUAGUGUAAGCGAAGCUGAUAACUGAAGCCCUGGUGAACGGCGGCCGUAACGAUAACGGUCCUAAGGUAGCGAAAUUCCUUGUCGGGUAAGUUCCGACCCGCACGAAAGGCGUAAUGAUUUGGAUACUGUCUCGGAGAGAGGCUCGGUGAAAUAGACUUGUCUGUGAAGAUGCGGACUACCUGCACCAGGACAGAAAGACCCUAUGAAGCUUUACUGUAACUUGAAAUUGGAAUUGGACUUUGCUUGCGCUGUAUAGGUGGGAAGCGUUGAAGAUACUCUUGCGGGACUAUUGGAGCUAUCAGUGAGAUACCACUCUUGUAAUGUUAGAUUUCUAACUUUGAACCAUAAUCUGGUCAAAGAACAGUUUCAGGCGGGCAGUUUGACUGGGGCGGUCGCCUCCUAAAUGGUAACGGAGGCGUACAAAGGUUUCCUCUGAACGGAUAGAAAUCGUAUCUAGAGUGUAAAGGCAUAAGGAAGCUUGACUGUGAGACCUACAAGUCGAGCAGGGACGAAAGUCGGUCUUAGUGAUCUGACGGUACUGAGUGGAAAGGCCGUCACUCAACGGAUAAAAGUUACUCUAGGAUAACAGGCUGAUCUCCCCCAAGAGUUCACAUCGACGGGGAGGUUUGGCACCUCGAUGUCGGCUCAUCGCAUCCUGGGGCGGUAGUACGUCCCAAGGGUUGGGCUGUUCGCCCAUGAAAGCGGUACGCGAGCUGGGUUCAGAACGUCGUGAGACAGUUCGGUCCAUAUCCGGUGUAGGCGUUAGAAUAUUGAGAGGAGCCUUCUUUAGUACGAGAGGACCGAGAAGGACACACCGCUGGUGUACCAGUUAUCGUGCCAACGGUAAACGCUGGGUAGCUAUGUGUGGAGAGGAUAACCGCUGAAAGCAUCUAAGUGGGAAGCCCACCUCAAGAUGAGUAUUCUCA